GAUGAACGCUGGCGGCGUGCCUAAUACAUGCAAGUCGAGCGAACAGACGAGGAGCUUGCUCCUCUGACGUUAGCGGCGGACGGGUGAGCAACACGUGGAUAACCUACCUAUAAGACUGGGAUAACUUCGGGAAACCGGAGCUACUACCGGAUAAUAUAUUGAACCGCAUGGUUCAAUAGUGAAAGACGGUUUUGCUGUCACUUAUAGAUGGAUCCGCGCCGCAUUAGCUAGUUGGUAAGGUAACGGCUUACCAAGGCAACGAUGCGUAGCCGACCUGAGAGGGUGAUCGGCCACACUGGAACUGAGACACGGUCCAGACUCCUACGGGAGGCAGCAGUAGGGAAUCUUCCGCAAUGGGCGAAAGCUUGACGGAGCAACGCCGCGUGAGUGAUGAAGGUCUUCGGAUCGUAAAACUCUGUUAUUAGGGAAGAACAAAUGUGUAAGUAACUAUGCACGUCUUGACGGUACCUAAUCAGAAAGCCACGGCUAACUACGUG
This 497-nucleotide ribosomal RNA is filed under the name uncultured bacterium. RNAcentral's name for it is "partial 16S ribosomal RNA". It matches the Rfam family "Bacterial small subunit ribosomal RNA", at positions 28 to 507 of the family's 1533-position model. The record is from RNAcentral.